This 756-nucleotide ribosomal RNA is filed under the name uncultured bacterium. Its description in RNAcentral is "bacterial SSU rRNA". It matches the Rfam family "Bacterial small subunit ribosomal RNA", at positions 8 to 796 of the family's 1533-position model. The record is from RNAcentral.
AGAGUUUGAUCAUGGCUCAGAAUCAACGCUGGCGGCGUGCCUAACACAUGCAAGUCGAACGAGAAAGGGUAGCAAUACCUGAGUAAAGUGGCGCACGGGUGAGUAACACGUGACUAACCUACCCUGGAGUGGGGGAUAACUGAGGGAAACCUUAGCUAAUACCGCAUAAUACCUACGGGUCAAAGGAGCAAUUCGCUUCAGGAGGGGGUCGCGGCCGAUUAGUUAGUUGGCGGGGUAAUGGCCCACCAAGACAGUGAUCGGUAUCCGGCCUGAGAGGGCGCACGGACACACUGGAACUGAAACACGGUCCAGACUCCUACGGGAGGCAGCAGUGGGGAAUUUUGCGCAAUGGGGGAAACCCUGACGCAGCAACGCCGCGUGGAGGAUGAAGUCCUUCGGGACGUAAACUCCUUUCGAUCGGGACGAUUAUGACGGUACCGGAAGAAGAAGCCCCGGCUAACUUCGUGCCAGCAGCCGCGGUAAUACGAGGGGGGCGAGCGUUGUUCGGAAUUAUUGGGCGUAAAGGGUGCGUAGGCGGUUUUGUAAGUCUUAUGUGAAAUCUAUGGGCUCAACUCAUAGACUGCAUGAGAAACUGCAGGGCUUGAGUAUGGGAGAGGUGAGUGGAAUUCCUGGUGUAGCGGUGAAAUGCGUAGAUAUCAGGAGGAACACCUGUGGCGAAAGCGGCUCACUGGACCAUAACUGACGCUGAUGCACGAAAGCUAGGGGAGCAAACAGGAUUAGAUACCCUAGUAGUCC